This 447-nucleotide ribosomal RNA is filed under the name uncultured bacterium. Its description in RNAcentral is "SSU rRNA". It matches the Rfam family "Bacterial small subunit ribosomal RNA", at positions 26 to 518 of the family's 1533-position model. The record is from RNAcentral.
AGAACGAACGCUGGCGGCAGGCUUAACACAUGCAAGUCGAACGGUUGUAGCAAUACAGCAGUGGCGCACGGGUGAGUAACGCGUGGGAACAUACCUUAGAGUUCGGAAUAACAGCGGGAAACUGCUGCUAAUACCGGAUAUUCUCCUCGGAGGAAAGAUUUAUCGCUCUAAGAUUGGCCCGCGUCAGAUUAGCUAGUUGGUGAGGUAAUGGCUCACCAAGGCUCCGAUCUGUAGCUGGUCUGAGAGGACGACCAGCCACACUGGAACUGAGACACGGUCCAGACUCCUACGGGAGGCAGCAGUGGGGAAUAUUGGACAAUGGGCGAAAGCCUGAUCCAGCCAUGCCGCGUGAAUGAUGAAGGCCUUAGGUUGUAAAGUUCUUUUGCCAGGGAAGAUAAUGACGGUACCUGGAGAAUAAGCACCGGCUAACUUCGUGCCAGCAGCCGC